AUACAUGCAAGUCGAGCGAAUGGAUUAAGAGCUUGCUCUUAUGAAGUUAGCGGCCCCAAGGGUGAGUAACACGUGGGUAACCUGCCCAUAAGACUGGGAUAACUCCGGGAAACCGGGGCUAAUACCGGAUAACAUUUUGAACCGCAUGGUUCGAAAUUGAAAGGCGGCUUCGGCUGUCACUUAUGGAUGGACCCGCGUCGCAUUAGCUAGUUGGUGAGGUAACGGCUCACCAAGGCAACGAUGCGUAGCCGACCUGAGAGGGUGAUCGGCCACACUGGGACUGAGACACGGCCCAGACUCCUACGGGAGGCAGCAGUAGGGAAUCUUCCGCAAUGGACGAAAGUCUGACGGAGCAACGCCGCGUGAGUGAUGAAGGCUUUCGGGUCGUAAAACUCUGUUGUUAGGGAAGAACAAGUGCUAGUUGAAUAAGCUGGCACCUUGACGGUACCUAACCAGAAAGCCACGGCUAACUACGUGCCAGCAGCCGCGGUAAUACGUAGGUGGCAAGCGUUAUCCGGAAUUAUUGGGCGUAAAGCGCGCGCAGGUGGUUUCUUAAGUCUGAUGUGAAAGCCCACGGCUCAACCGUGGAGGGUCAUUGGAAACUGGGAGACUUGAGUGCAGAAGAGGAAAGUGGAAUUCCAUGUGUAGCGGUGAAAUGCGUAGAGAUAUGGAGGAACACCAGUGGCGAAGGCGACUUUCUGGUCUGUAACUGACACUGAGGCGCGAAAAAAUGCCGAGCC
RNAcentral lists this ribosomal RNA (740 nucleotides) under Bacillus cereus. RNAcentral's name for it is "bacterial SSU rRNA". It matches the Rfam family "Bacterial small subunit ribosomal RNA", at positions 51 to 770 of the family's 1533-position model. Lineage: Bacteria; Bacillati; Bacillota; Bacilli; Caryophanales; Bacillaceae. The record is from RNAcentral.